RNAcentral lists this long non-coding RNA (2304 nucleotides) under Solanum lycopersicum (tomato). Lineage: Eukaryota; Viridiplantae; Streptophyta; Magnoliopsida; Solanales; Solanaceae. The record is from RNAcentral.
UGGAAAGUUGGGGUGCUUACAAUUAUUGAGAUUUUGUUGACAUAACUUAAAAAGGUAAAGUAUAUUUUGUAAUAUAGUUAUAUUUUCGAUUAUUUUUAAUCUAUAGUUAUAGUUUCACCGUAUCUUGCUAUUCGGUUGUCUGGUUGUAUAACUUCAGUGUAUAUGAUUUAAGAAAAUUAUCCUCGUUGUCUAGUUGUAUAAUUUCAGUGUAUAUGAUUUAAGAAAAUUAUCCUCUUUGUAUGUCUUUGCAAGCGAUAUACAAAUGAAAUUAAAAAAAAUAAAAUCCUAAACGCAUAAAUACAUAAUUUGUAUAUAUUUAACAUGUUUGUAUUAAAAUAACACAAUUCGAGAAAUGUCUUAUUAAUUUAUUAUUUUUGUUUUUGAAACUACUUUUAAAUAAUUCAAUAUUAUCUUUCAUUUGGAUUUUCAAUGUGAUAACUUCAAUAAAUUUGAGUAUAUGACAAUAAUUAGUAAGGAUAAAAAUAGAAAACUAUAUUCAAUUUAUAUUUUAAUCUACUUUUAUUAAAGAGCGUGGAACACCUUAAAAUUUCUUCAUUUUUUAGAACUUUAGUAACGUGUAAAAUGGAAAAUGUGACGUUAGUUAUUUUGAAUCUUUGGAAGUAUGUUAGAGCAGGUUGAAAAAAGAAAGAUAUUUAUAUUGUCGGUUUGGCCAAGCUAUCUCUGUUUUUCUUUUUAUAUGAAAUUUAAAAUCAAAUCAAAUCAAUCUCAAAAUAUCGUUUAUUUCUUUGAUUUGCAUCUUUUUUUCAUGAACACCCCUAUAAAAAAAGUUGCAGUGCGUCGAUAAGAAGUACCUCAAAAAUGUGUUGGAGCAUAGCUUAAAAUGUAUUAACAGAUUAUUUCAUUUAGCUAUUAUUAUAUCCCAAAAGAUAUAGUACAUUAUUUUCAACGAAAUAGGUAAAUGAGACAAUAAUAAGAGGUAUAUUAAAAAAAAAUUAUUUUUAUUUUAGAAAGCAAAAAAAAAAAAAAAGGAUAAAAAAAAUGAGUCCUCCUGGAUAUAAUAUAUAGAGUUUGUCAACUCCAAUGUAGUACUUUUUGGCGAGAAUAUAGAUCUAAUCGGACUUCAAUGUGAAUAUUGAAUACCAAAGCUUUUGUCAACUCCAAUGUAUCUGGCGAGUAUACGGAUCUAAUCGAACUUCAGUGUGAAUAUUGAAUACCAAAGCCUUUGUCAACUCCAAUGUAGAACUUUCUGGCGAGAAUACAGAUCUAAUCGGACUUCAAUGUGAAUAUUAAAUAAACAAAUUUGAUCAAAAAUAAAGUUGCUAACAAAUAUCUCUCCAUCGGGUUAGAGUUUCACUCGUUUAUCAUAAACAAUUUGUGUGCACCAAUAUAGAAAGGUUGCGAAUAUUAUAAUGAUAGUAACAGAGUCAUAAAUUUUAACAACGAAAGUUUUUUUUCCUAUAUACUCCAAUAUAUACACAAUACAGAUUAACUUCACUAGCUAGACUCUAAACAUAAAAGGGUUGUUCAAUUACAAUUAUUGUUCCAUCAAUAUGUAGUUUCUUAAGUUUGGUACAAAAACAUUUUCACUCGUAUCUCAUGUUACUUUUCAUCUACAAAUUUCAAAUCACAAUGCUUACUAUUAUAAUAAUCAAUAAAAUCACAAUAAUUGUGUCAAUGCAAAUGACGAUGACGUGUUCUAUAUUGGGAGGUUUAUUUUUCAUCUAUAGAUGAAUAUCAAGCUAGUGAAAACUCAUUGACACCUUUCAAAUCUUAAUAUAUAAACAAAAUAUUAUAUCAUAUAUACUAGUUUCACCACUUCUAAUUUGUUAAUAGAAAUGAAAUAAAAAAAUUUAAAAAAUAAAGAUAUAAAAUAGGAGGGGCUGAUUACCCAAACUAAGUACUAUUAUCUUAGAAAGUCAGUUUUCUUUCUUAAUUUCAAUUUCAUACAACACUUUUAUUAGUCAAUCGAUCAUCUGAGAAAUCAACACUAAAAAAAAAAAAAGAUGGAUGAGUAUAUAUAAGUAAGAUGAUAUUGGCACGGCUCAAUCAAAUGAAAUGACCCAAUACUUUGAGAAAUUUGAUUUGAUUGAGCCAUUCCAACAUCAUUUUACUAUACUAUUAACUACAAAGCGAAAAAGGAAAAAAAAAAGAACUUUUAAAUUUACCUUUCCAACUUCAUAAUUUGUAGAUCAUCAAAUAACUAAGAACUUGAUUUUGCAAUAUUCCUAAUCAUAAUUGCCGGCAUGAUAAUGAUGGAACCCUAACCCUAAUUUAGAGAGGAGAAAAAGGAAGAAUAAGCUAUAACAAAUAUAAGAUAAGAAAAGAAAAUUAGUAGUAUUGGAG